UACGUAGGUGACCAGCGUUGUCCGGAUUUACUGGGCGUAAAGAGCGCGCAGGCGGUCGUUCAAGUCGAGUGUGAAAGCCCCCGGCUCAACUGGGGAGGGUCACUCGAUACUGAUCGACUGGAAGGCAGGAGAGGGAAGCGGAAUUCCCGGUGUAGUGGUGAAAUGCGUAGAUAUCUGGAGGAAUACCGGUGGCGAAGGCGGCAUCCUGGACCGGCAUUGACGCUGAUGAGCGAAAGCUAGGGGAGCAAACGGG
Molecule: ribosomal RNA, 253 nt
Filed under: uncultured bacterium
Lineage: Bacteria
Description: partial 16S ribosomal RNA
Rfam family: Bacterial small subunit ribosomal RNA
Source: RNAcentral